GGAUCCAGACUUUGAUUCUGGCUCAGGACGAACGCUGGCGGCGCGCCUAACACAUGCAAGUCGAACGAGAGAGAGGGAGCUUGCUUCCUCAAUCGAGUGGCGAACGGGUGAGUAACGCGUGAGGAACCUGCCUCAAAGAGGGGGACAACAGUUGGAAACGACUGCUAAUACCGCAUAAGCCCACGGCUCGGCAUCGAGCAGAGGGAAAAGGAGCAAUCCGCUUUGAGAUGGCCUCGCGUCCGAUUAGCUAGCUGGUGAGGUAAUGGCCCACCAAGGCGACGAUCGGUAGCCGGACUGAGAGGUUGAACGGCCACAUUGGGACUGAGACACGGCCCAGACUCCUACGGGAGGCAGCAGUGGGGAAUAUUGCACAAUGGGGGAAACCCUGAUGCAGCGACGCCGCGUGGAGGAAGAAGGUCUUCGGAUUGUAAACUCCUGUUGUUGAGGAAGAUAAUGACGGUACUCAACAAGGAAGUGACGGCUAACUACGUGCCAGCAGCCGCGGUAAAACGUAGGUCACAAGCGUUGUCCGGAAUUACUGGGUGUAAAGGGAGCGCAGGCGGGCGAUCAAGUUGGAAGUGAAAUCCAUGGGCUCAACCCAUGAACUGCUUUCAAAACUGAUUGUCUUGAGUAGUGCAGAGGUAGGCGGAAUUCCCGGUGUAGCGGUGGAAUGCGUAGAUAUCGGGAGGAACACCAGUGGCGAAGGCGGCCUACUGGGCACCAACUGACGCUGAGGCUCGAAAGUGUGGGUAGCAAACAGGAUUAGAUACCCUGGUAGUCCACACCGUAAACGAUGAUUACUAGGUGUUGGAGGAUUGACCCCUUCAGUGCCGCAGUUAACACAAUAAGUAAUCCACCUGGGGAGUACGACC
RNAcentral lists this ribosomal RNA (872 nucleotides) under uncultured bacterium. RNAcentral describes it as "bacterial SSU rRNA". It matches the Rfam family "Bacterial small subunit ribosomal RNA", at positions 1 to 887 of the family's 1533-position model. The record is from RNAcentral.